AUACGUAGGGGGCGAGCGUUGUCCGGAAUGAUUGGGCGUAAAGGGCGCGUAGGCGGCCUGUUAAGUCUGGAGUGAAAGUCCUGCUUUCAAGAUGGGAAUUGCUUUGGAUACUGUCGGGCUUGAGUGCAGGAGAGGUCACCGCAAUUCCCCGUGUCGCGCUGACAUGCGUAGAGAUUGGGAGGAACACCAGUGGCGAAGGCGACUUACUGGACUGUAACUGACGCUGAGGCGCGAAAGUGUGGGGAGCAAACAGGAUUAGAUACCCUGGUAGUCCACACUGUAAACGAUGAAUGCUAGGUGUAGGGGGUAUCGACCCCUUCUGUGCCGCAGUCAACACAAUAAGCAUUCCGCCUGGGGAGUACGGCCGCAAGGUUGAAACUCAAAUGAAUUGACGGGG
Molecule: ribosomal RNA, 397 nt
Filed under: uncultured bacterium
Lineage: Bacteria
Description: partial 16S ribosomal RNA
Rfam family: Bacterial small subunit ribosomal RNA
Source: RNAcentral